GGGUGCAAGGUUACAGGCAGAUAGUGGAUGCCUUGGGAUGCAAAGGCGAUGAAGGACGUGGCGUGACUGCGAUAAGCCUCGGGGAGCAGUUUAGCAUGCUUUGAUCCGGGGAUUUCCGAAUGGGGAAACCUGGUCCGCCGAAAGGUGGAUCGCCCAGCCCUUGAGGUUGGGAGCGAACCCGCUGAAGUGAAACAUCUCAGUAAGCGGAGGAACAGAGAACGCAAGUACGUCCAGUGACUCACCAGACAUCAUCAAUUGAGCGGCGCGAUUUUGAGACAGAUUCGCGACGCGAGGAGCGAUGCGUACCUGAAAGGUACGUGAGCGACGAGCAACAAAGAAGAUGGCCAAAAUGGCGCCGCCCCAAAGGGGAAGCACACUACCGGCCAAUCGCUGCGUUGCUCCUCCUCAACGUACCAGCGGGUACAAUUUCGUCGUCGCGCCUUGCGCUUGUCUCGGUAGUGCGCUUCUCAAUUUGAUGAGGCCUGGCGAGUCACUGGACUAAUUCCCUUAGUAGCGGCGAGCGAACGGGGAGGAGCCUAAACCUCGCUGUCCUACAGGACAGCGAACAGUUGACAACUGACUUUUGACGAUUGACCCUGAAGGAUGAAACAUUCCUUCUUGUCAAUUGUUAAUUGUCAAAAGUUAAUUGUUCGCCGCCCUGUAGGGCGGCGGGGGGUUGUAAGAUUAUAGCGUCGGGAGUAUUUCGGAUGCACUGAAAUAUUCUUGGAGGGAGAACAUCUAGAUAAAGUAGUUAGAAGAACGCCCCUGGAACGGAGCGGCCACAGAGGGUAAAAGCCCCGUAUUCGAAAACUACCUUUAUGCUCCUUGCUAUUUUUCUUGAGUACCUCGGGAAACGAAAAGCCCGCGGGAAGCUUCCGGAACUAUCCGGAAAGGCUAAAUACUUUGCAUCACCGAUAGUGAACUAGUACCGUGAGGGAAAGGUGAAAAGCAGCCCGGUGAGGGCGAUGAAAUAGAACCUGAAACUAUCUUGCCUACAAAGAAUCGGAGCCCCGUUAGAAAUUUGCUUGUGUUAGACAGUCUAAAGUUUGAACAUUAACUUUAACUUGUUUAGCUUUUGCUCAAAAAGAACAUGUUGUUCUUUUUGAGCAAGUGAAUACAUCGGCAAAUUUCUAACGGGGUGACGGUGUGCUUUUUGCAGAACGAGCCAACGAGUGUUUGUGCCAGCUUUGUCUAAGCGCCUUUGGCGUGAAGGCAUAGCGAAAGCGAGUGUGAAUAGCGCGCUCCGCCGCAAGGCGGAUGAGCUGUCGCAAACGACCCGAAGCCAAGCGAGCUUGCCAUGAGCAGGGUGAAGGACGACGAAGGUCGUCUGGAGGCCCGAACCCGUAGAUCGUUCAAUUUCUUGGGAUGACUUGUGGUAAGAAGUGAAAAGCUAAUCGAGCUUGGUAAUAGCUGGUUCUCCCCGAAAUAGCUUUAGGGCUAGCGUUGUAAAGCAAGUCCUGGAGGUAGAGCUCUGGAAAGAACGUUCUUGGAGCAAUCCAGACGUUUUUACCAAACUUCGAAUGCCAGGACCCUAGAUACAACAGUCAGAACGCGGGGGCUAAGCUCCGCGCUCAAAAGGGAAACAGCCCAGAUCUUCAUCUAAGGUCCCUAAAUCAAGCUAAGUGCAAACAAAGGAAGUGAAGCUCCAGAGAUAGCUAGGAGGUUCGCUUAGAAGCAGCUAUCCUUUAAAAAGUGCGUAACAGCUUACUAGCUAAGGAGUUUUGCGCCGUAAAUUUACAGGGGCUAAGCUUGAUACCGAAGAUAAGGAUCGUUCGCGCCUCACUUUUGUUCAGCACGAACUCCAACAUUUGACCAUUGACCUUUGACCUUUGACUAUUGACCUUAAGGAGGAUCAUAUAUCCUUCCUUAUUGUCAAUUGUUCAUUGUCAAAAGUUAAUUGUUUGAGCGAGUGCCGAGCGUAAGCGAGGCACGAACGAUGGUAGGGGAGCGUCCUUACUGCGGUAAAGUCGAAUCGCGAGAUUCGGUGGAGCGGUGAGGAGUGAGAAUGUUGGCAUGAGUAACCACAAUGCAGGUGAAAUCCCUGCACACCGAAAACCUAAGGUUUCCUUGGCAAUGACAAUCAUCCAAGGGUUAGGCGGCCCUAAGCUGUGCACCAAACGGUGUUCAGCGAUGGACAGAAGGUUAAUAUUCCUUCCCCUCGUCAUAUGCUUCUUUGGAUAACGGAGUAUAGUAGCUUGAGCAAGUUAAUGGAUUCUUGUCCGUGGCAUAAUCGGGCAACCGAAAGUGCAGCGGCAACCUGCCGUAAGGCGGAGAGUCAAGUGAGCAUGCUUCCUAGAAAAGUUCCAAAGAGAUGAGUAUGAUGAGUCCGUACCGGAAACCGACACAGGUGGGUUGGUAUUAAUGUACUAAGGUGAACGGGUGAAAGCUCCUGAAGGAACUCGGCAAAUCAGUGGUCGUAACUUCGGGAUAAGACCUUCCUCCUUCGCUCUUUGCUUCGCAAAGAGCUACGGAUGGACGAGUCCUCCUCCUUUCUUAAAGAAUUACGCGUUAAAACUGAAAGCGAAGGAGGAAUUCAUCCUUCCGAAGCUCCAAACGAAGUGAGGAGCGGAGGAGGACGCAGCAAACGUAUUCCUAGCGACUGUUUACCAAAAACACAGGUCCCUGCUCAACUCGAAAGAGGAUGUAUAGGGGCUGACGCCUGACCAGUGCUGGAGUGUUAAUCCUGCCGGUCUUUGCCGCAAGGUGAAGGCUGAGUGGGUGAAGCCCCAGUGAACGUCCGCGGUAACUAUAGGUACGGUCUGUAGUUGUAAAACCUAGCUAAAUGCGGGAAUAUCUCAACAAAGACUUGGAGGUACUCGGAAGGAAUCGUCCUCCUUUCAGUAACAAUCCGUUCAAGAGAGACAAUCCGCAGGAAAGAUCAUUUGCGAAUCCAUCACAUCUAUGGAAGAUGAAAGAUGGGUGAAACAAAUCCCAAACCACAUCGGCUGGUAUCUCGCGGGAUUUACAGACGGUGAAGGAAGCUUCAACGUCUCACUAAAACGAGAUCCAGAGUACCGGACGCGUUGGCAUAUAGAGCCGAGCUUUAAUGUCUCACAGAGAGACAGAACAAGUUUGGUGCUCUUCAAACGCUAUCUGGGAGUGGGGGGACUCCGACAGAGAAAGGACGGAGUCACCUACUACGAAGUGCGCAAUUAUCACGCGCUUCAAGAGAGAGUAGUUCCUUUCUUCAAGAGGUUUUCUUUCUUCUCUUCCACGAAAAAGAGGAACUUCUCUCUAUUUAAGAGAGUCGUGGAGCUGAUGAACGAAGGAAAACACACCAACAAAGAAGGACUGGAAGAGAUUCUCCGCCUUAGAGAGAACAUGAAUGAAGGCCGAGGUCGAAAGAGAAAGUAUUCUUUGGACGAUUACUUAGAUUCGCAAACGAAAUCCUCAGAGACUAUACGCUAGGCCCCGACGUAACGUCGGGGAUGAGAUAGUCCGAUCUCAUAGGUGACUAUGAGUCAACAAGAAUGAACCGUGUUAAAGUAGGAAAUCUGCUUUAGUAAAAUCUGGCUAUAUGCUGGAAACUCCCGUGUAUCUUUGACUGGCAACGGCCAAAGUGGGGACAAUCAGCAGGAAAGACUUCUAUGGAAUCAUAGAAGAAUCCUCAGAGACCAUACGCCAGACUGAGUUUUCCUCAGAAGAUAUGGUCCGAACUUCAUGGCGACAUGGAGAGUAUCGCAGAAAUGCGAUACCGCCAUGCCUCUUUCCACGAGGCUUGGUAGGCAAGCAACAUCAUUGAGCGUAAUCCCUUGCCUGGUAAGUUCAGGCCCGCAUGAAAGGCGUAACGACUUGGAGACUGUCUCCAGGAGCUGCCCGGUGAAAAUGCAAUACCGGUGAAGAUGCCGGUUACCUGCGGCUAGACGGAAAGACCCCGGGAGCUUUACUAUAGCUUCCUAUUGUCUUGUCAUUUUACCUGCGUAGAAUAGCAGGGAGGCUGUGAAGCCCGUCUUUUGGGAUGGGUGGAGCCGUCAGUGAAAUACCUGUCUGGUAAGAAGGUAAGACUAAUUCUCGCUUUGCGAGAUGACAGUGGGAGGUGGGUAGUUUUAGUGGGGCGCUAGCCUCCAAAAGAGUAACGGAGGCGUUUACAAGGUCAGCUAGCUCCGGAUGGAAAUCGGAGUGGUCGUGUAAAGGCAUAAGCUGGCUUUACUGCGAGACGGGUAUGUCGAGCAGUUGCGAAAGCAGAACUUAGUGAACCGAUACGCCGUAGUAGAAGGCGUAAAGAUCAUCAACCAAAAGUUACCCCGGGGAUAACAGGCUGGUAGUGCCCGCGAGUCCAUAUCUACGGCACUGUUCGGCACCUUAUGUAGGAACAUCGGGGUGCUAUCCUGAGCAAUCGGGAUACCUGUCUUCGAUAACGCCAUCGAAGAGAAAAAAUCUGGCUUAUAACGGUGGACUCCAUGUGGUAAAAUGUACCAAUACCGUAUGGACAAUACCGUGGGAAGUUUAACCCAAUUGCAGCGGUCGGUUGUAAUAGGUUCUCUCUUGGGAGAUGGAUAUCUAAGGAUUCUCCCAGGGAGAACAGAUGCGUUUCUUGAAAUCAAUCACAGUAUUCAUGCAAAAGAAUACGUAGAUUGGAAGUUUGAGAUUUUAAGGAACAUCUGUCUGUCACCACCGAAAUCAAGAAGAGGAAACGGCAAAAGGAUUGCUUAUCGCUUCUUUACGAGACAACAUCCUGAGUUGAGUAAGUUUCAUAGGAUGUUCUACCGAGAAGGAGUAAAAAUCAUUCCCACUCAGCUUGUCCUGGACCCAAUGGCCAUUGCCAUCUGGUUCAUGGACGACGGAGGAAGGAGUGGAGAAAGCAAUUUUUACCUCAACACGCAGAAGUUUGCGCUUGAAGAGCAGAACUUCUUGAUUGAGAAGUUGCGAGAGAAGGGUCUGGAGUCAACGCUUAACAAGGAUAAGAGUUACUACAGAAUCCGUUUUCUCUCUUCUUCAAUCCGAAAGCUCAAGGAGCUCUUGGAAGGGAACAUUAUUCCUUCCAUGCGAUACAAACUGGGUUAUAACCUCGUAGAGACUUGAUUCGAAAGAAUCAGAGUUCUUCUCAUAAGAGAAGGGCUAAUACGCCAGCUCCAUCAUUCUAUGAUGGAUGAAGAUAUAGUCCGAUCCUCUCGGCAACGAGAGAAAAAUGUCGACAAGCGAUGUCGGCUCAUCACAGCGCGGGGCUGGAGAAGGUCCCAAGCGUUUGGCUGUUCGCCAAUUAAAGUGGUACGUGAGCUGGGUUCAAACCGUCGUGAGACAGGUUGGUCCCUAUCUACCGCAGGCGUCGAGUCUUGAGGAGAGUUGUUCCUAGUACGAGAGGACUGGAAUGAACCAACCUCUGGUGUACCAGUUGUCCUGCCAAGGGCACCGCUGGGUAGCUAUGUUGGGAAAGGAUAAGCGCUGAAAGCAUAUAAGUGCGAAGCCUCCUCCAAGAUGAGGACUCAUGAAUCCCUCGAAGAUCACGAGGUUGAUAGGCUCCAGGUGAAAGUGCAGUGAUGCAUUGAGCCGAGGAGUACUAAUGAUUCAAAAUGAUGAUUCCUG
Non-coding RNA from Candidatus Wildermuthbacteria bacterium, 5523 nucleotides. The record is from Rfam. NCBI's taxonomy places the organism in Bacteria, Candidatus Wildermuthiibacteriota.